This 483-nucleotide ribosomal RNA is filed under the name uncultured bacterium. RNAcentral's name for it is "partial 16S ribosomal RNA". It matches the Rfam family "Bacterial small subunit ribosomal RNA", at positions 30 to 506 of the family's 1533-position model. The record is from RNAcentral.
AUUGAACGCUGGCGGCAGGCCUAACACAUGCAAGUCGAGCGAAUGAAGGGAGCUUGCUCCUGGAUUCAGCGGCGGACGGGUGAGUAAUGCCUAGGAAUCUGCCUGGUAGUGGGGGAUAACGUCCGGAAACGGGCGCUAAUACCGCAUACGUCCUGAGGGAGAAAGUGGGGGAUCUUCGGACCUCACGCUAUCAGAUGAGCCUAGGUCGGAUUAGCUAGUUGGUGGGGUAAAGGCCUACCAAGGCGACGAUCCGUAACUGGUCUGAGAGGAUGAUCAGUCACACUGGAACUGAGACACGGUCCAGACUCCUACGGGAGGCAGCAGUGGGGAAUAUUGGACAAUGGGCGAAAGCCUGAUCCAGCCAUGCCGCGUGUGUGAAGAAGGUCUUCGGAUUGUAAAGCACUUUAAGUUGGGAGGAAGGGAAGUAAGUUAAUACCUUGCUGUUUGGACGUUACCAACAGAAUAAGCACCGGCUAACUUCGU